AAUUAGUAUAAAUUAGAGGGGCAGACAAGGAAUAAAAAACAACAUUACAAAGGAGAUUUUGGUACAAGAAUUGGAUUAUUCUGAAAUUAUGCAGACCAUGAAUCUUCAACUUGCUGAUAAUGCCUUUCAUAGCUAUACACAGCGUUCCCAUAACUGCGAGCAUCAUCACUUCUUUCGCCGUAUGGAUAUGGAUUCCCAAACAGAUAAUCAGCACUUUCUUUCCAUUGAUUGCUGCAAUUUCCAUAAUCUGCAACUUGUUGACAAUCGUUCACUCUCCUUGCAUAAC
This 286-nucleotide unclassified non-coding RNA is filed under the name Hevea brasiliensis (rubber tree). Lineage: Eukaryota; Viridiplantae; Streptophyta; Magnoliopsida; Malpighiales; Euphorbiaceae. The record is from RNAcentral.